RNAcentral lists this ribosomal RNA (253 nucleotides) under uncultured bacterium. RNAcentral describes it as "partial 16S ribosomal RNA". It matches the Rfam family "Bacterial small subunit ribosomal RNA", at positions 524 to 776 of the family's 1533-position model. The record is from RNAcentral.
UACGGAGGAGGCAAGCGUUAUCCGGAAUUAUUGGGCGUAAAGCGUCCGUAGGUGGUUUAGUAAGUCUGCUGUUAAAGCGCGGGGCUUAACUCCGUAUCGGCAGUGGAAACUACUAGACUAGAGUGUGGUAGGGGUAGAGGGAAUUCCCAGUGUAGCGGUGAAAUGCGUAGAUAUUGGGAAGAACACCGGUGGCGAAGGCGGCCUUCUGGACAGUGACUGACGCUGAGACGCGAAAGCGUGGGGAGCAAACAGG